Molecule: ribosomal RNA, 411 nt
Filed under: uncultured bacterium
Lineage: Bacteria
Description: bacterial SSU rRNA
Rfam family: Bacterial small subunit ribosomal RNA
Source: RNAcentral
ACCUCUAAGACGAGGAUAACGACUGGAAACGGUACGGCUAAAACUAGGAUAGGAUCAUUUGAGGCAUCUCGAAUGAUUUAAAGGGGACGUUCUAAGCCACACUUAGAGAAAGGCCUGCGGCGCAUUAGCUAGUUGGUGGGGUAGAGGCCUACCAAGGCGAUGAUGCGUAGCCGGACUGAGAGGUCGAACGGCCACAUUGGGACUGAGACACGGCCCAAACUCCUACGGGAGGCAGCAGUAGGGAAUUUUCGGCAAUGGGGGAAACCCUGACCGAGCAACGCCGCGUGAAUGAAAAGACGUAUUUCGGUAUGUAAAGUUCUUUUAUUAAGGAAGAAUAUCACGGAUAGGAAAUGAUCUGUGAGUGACGGUACUUAAUGAAUAAGCCCCGGCUAACUAUGUGCCAGCCGCUGC